AAAGCCAAAAGCCCCUCAGCUUGUUUACCGAAUGGACUGAAAUUCAGAGAGAGAGAGAGAGAGAGAGAGUCUAUGUGCAUAACACCUAUCUUAUUUUGUCAAGUUCUAUAUUUGGAUUCUACAUUUAGAAUGAUAUUUUCCCCCUUUUGGCAGAUGAGGUCUCUAAUACAUCAAACUGGAACAAGUGGACUUGUGCAUGUUCUUAAGCGUAUCAGGGAACCAAGGCUUUCCUAUUGAAACCAACUGCUAGCUCAUGUCGCUGCAGUCCUGGUACGCCAACAAUUCCAUCGGGAACCAAGGCUUUCCACCACCGUAUGUGAUUUCGUCUGCUGCUGCAAAAUCAGCCGCCUUUGUUCCCCAGAUUGCAGGUUGCUUCCAACAUGCUUUACAUUGCUUGGGUGGAAAUGCUCAAUUCCAACCAACUAAGGAUGAUGAAUACGUAUGAGGAUGUUGCUGAACUUGUUGAGGCCCUUCCCAACUCCCAAGGAAGUGUGGUUGCAUACAUCUCCAAAAUUUUUGGAUGUUUUACAAUUCUGCAACGCUGGAUAUGGAGUAGCUAUAGAAAACUACGAGGUCAAUGUGAAAACAUAAUAGAACGGUGAUAUGGUUGCUUAUGUACUGUACCAUUGAAGUUACAUAAAUGAUAGGAGAAGCAGGUGUUGAGGCUGCAUUCAGGGGACUUGAGAAGCAUGUUCCACACCAAUUCUCAUUAAUGAUAUCCUCUCAUUCUGCAAGUGUGAAAGGGCUUGCCGCCAGAGUUUUGUUCACAGAAUCAUCAUUGAAGUCACUCGAGGAAUCAUAACACCACUAAAAUUCAGAAAUGAGUUACUUGUAAUUUGACAAUCUUUUACUUUAAUAUUUCCUCAGCAAAAAUGGUUCACCAAAACAUGCUUGUUCAUGGGAAAAUGACUCUAUACACUAGGUAUUUUCUCUGAAAUUUUAUAGCUUCUCCCUUCCUGUU
Molecule: long non-coding RNA, 961 nt
Organism: Rhododendron vialii
Lineage: Eukaryota; Viridiplantae; Streptophyta; Magnoliopsida; Ericales; Ericaceae
Exons: 4
Source: RefSeq, a predicted model, not a curated record